Molecule: ribosomal RNA, 253 nt
Filed under: uncultured bacterium
Lineage: Bacteria
Description: partial 16S ribosomal RNA
Rfam family: Bacterial small subunit ribosomal RNA
Source: RNAcentral
GACGAACCGUGCGAACGUUGUUCGGAAUCACCGGGCUUAAAGGGCGCGUAGGCGGGCUGCGGCGUCCGGGGUGAAAUCCUCCCGCUCAACGGGAGAACGGCCUCGGAUACGGGCGGCCUCGAGGGGGGUAGGGGCAUCUGGAACUGUGAGUGGAGCGGUGAAAUGCGUUGAUAUUCACAGGAACUCCGGUGGCGAAGGCGAGGUGCUGGACCCCUUCUGACGCUGAGGCGCGAAAGACAGGGGAGCGAACGGG